GGCCGCGCUGACAGCCGGUCCCACCGCCUCCCCCGCCCGCCAGCGGCGCCCACUCCCCGCCCGCCCCCGCCGCCCGGGGAGCCCCGCGGGGUACGGAGCGCCCGCAGAUGAGCGGCUGCAGCCAGGAAGAAAGUUCAAACGGUGGCGGUCGCGCACCUACCCGCUGUCUGCAAUGUCUCCUCCGGGCGCGGGGUGCUAAGACGAGGUGAAAUCCCUUUGCUGGUCAUAAGGCGGCUUCAGAGACAAACAACACAAUGCGAGUGCAAAUAACAAAAGGAGAAAAAAAAAGAAAAACAGGAGAGGGAGACCGGGAACAAUGGGGGAGGAGAGGCUCGCCUCGCCGCGCCGCGCCUGGCCGCCGCCGGCACCCGGGCAGGCAGGAGGAGGAGGCGGAGGAGGAAGGCGAGGUAGCAGCAGCGGGGAGGGGGCUGCCCCGACCUCCUCCCCUCCGGUUGUCGCCGCUCGCCCCGCCGCGCACCGGGGCGGCCCUACGUAGCGGCGGGGCGGCUAGCGGUAAGUGACGCGCCCGCCGCCGCUGCAGAGCCCGGUAAUGGCCAUCGCGGACGCUAUCACCAUCGUCCCUCGGAGAGGACGGCUGUCUGACGGCUGAACGAGCGGUUUAAAGCGGCGGGGGGGUACCGAGCCCUUCCCGCCUUUCGCCCUCCUUUCCGGGAACUUCACCAAGCAGGGCUGUCGCGAGUCCCGGGGACGUCGCUGCCGGGUCCCUUCCCGAGGAGCAGUCCCCCUCCCGCUCUUUGCUAAGGGUAAACACCCGCGAGUUGCGUGUCCGUGGGCGUGUGCGUGUCCGCCGGCACCUUCUGCACCGGCAACCCGUGUCACAUCGGAGCGACCGCACGCACCGCCGCCCGGGGGACCCCCGCCGCAACCUCUCUCCUCAGUUCUCUCCCUUGAUUUCCGGGACCCCCAGCCGGGCGCAGACCCCAUGCCUGCGCAGGUACCCGAGGGGGGAAAGCAGAAGUUUGGGGUCCCCGUGCGCCUUUCCGCUCCGCGCUCUCCGCGCAGGCCAGUGACGAGACGCCGCCCCGCGCUCCUCAGCCGCGGCGGGUCUGAAGAUCGCCGCUGCCCUCCCCGCCGCCCGCUCCGCCAGUGUGGGGUCCCGCGAGUGGGUUACCUCAGCGACGGGCGGCCUGCGGGCUCCCCGCCCGCCCGGGGGGGGCCGCCGCGGGGCUGCAGCUCUCCGCCCUCCGCCUAGUUGCCUGAAAUCCGUCCCCGGGGCGGAGGGGUCGGCGGAGCUCCCGCUGUGUCGCUGCUCCCCCGGGCAGGCGAGGAGCGAGUGUUGCGCCUGGCUCAGCAGCCCAUCUCUGCCCCGGACCCCCCGGUUACCUCCUCCUCCUCUCCGCCAGCACUCCCCGCCGCUCCUCGGGUGAGCCCGGCCGCGUCCCGCGCUGGUCUCUCGUCCCGGCCACCCGCGGGGACCCGGCCGCUCCCGGGGCUUCGCGCCUGGGUGAGGGUAUGUGUGUGGGUGUGUGGGGUGGGUUGGGUUGUGUUUUCCUCUCGGCAACCGUUUGUUCUGCCUGUACUCAGUACAGCUGUCGGGGUGCGACGGGCCCCUGUCCGCGGUCGGCGGGAAUGAGCGGAGGAACAGGGGGAGCGACCGAGGGAGCCCACCGCCGCUAAUAAAGUCAGGCUCUGCAAGUAA
This is a long non-coding RNA of Colius striatus (speckled mousebird), 1660 nucleotides long. RefSeq lists it as uncharacterized. The record is from RefSeq and is a predicted model, not a curated record. The transcript has 2 exons. NCBI's taxonomy places the organism in Eukaryota, Metazoa, Chordata, Aves, Coliiformes, Coliidae.